CUAGCGACUUCAGAGUUUGAUCCUGGCUCAGGACGAACGCUGGCGGCGUGCCUAACACAUGCAAGUCGAGCGGGGACAUGAGACGGAGGAUGAAGAUUUCGGUUGGAGUCCAAAGACUUAUGUUCUAGCGGCGGACGGGUGAGUAACGCGUGAGCAACCUGUCCCUUACAGGGGGAUAACACAGCGAAAGUUGUACUAAUACCGCAUAAGACCACGACGGGGCAUCCCGGAGGGGUCAAAGGAGAAAUCCGGUAAGGGGUGGGCUCGCGUCCGAUUAGAUAGUUGGUGAGGUAACGGCCCACCAAGUCGACGAUCGGUAGCCGACCUGAGAGGGUGAUCGGCCACAUUGGGACUGAGACACGGCCCAA
Molecule: ribosomal RNA, 368 nt
Filed under: uncultured bacterium
Lineage: Bacteria
Description: bacterial SSU rRNA
Rfam family: Bacterial small subunit ribosomal RNA
Source: RNAcentral